GGUUGAUCCUGCCAGUGAUCAUAUUCUUCCAUCAAAGACUAAGCCAUGCAUAUGUGAGACUAAGCUUAACAGCGAAUCUGUGUAUGGCUCAAUAUAUGAAUGAUAACCUCCCCGAGGACAAAGUAGCAACUGGAUAACCGUUGUAAUUCAAGGGCUAAUCAUGCAUCAAAAGAGUUCGCAAGGACUCUGCAUUUGUUAGCACAAAAUCAACACAUUGAUGAAUCAUGACAAAUUGCGGAGCUUCUUUUAUAGAAGCCGACUCGGUCGGGUCUUUCCCCUAUCAGGUCUAGUAGGGAGUGUAUUGUACUCUCUAGCCUUUGACGGGUAACGAAGAAUCAGGGUUCGAUUUCGGAGAAGGAGCCUUAGAAACGGCUACUACAUCUAGGGAAGGCAGCAGGGGCGUAAAUUUCCCAAUGCUCAACGAGCGAGGAAGUGACGAUGGGUAAAGGGUUUGUGGGUUUAACCUAUAAACUAUCAAUGAGUAAAACGUACAAACGUUUGCGUGGAUCAAUUGGAGGGCAAGUCUGGUGCCAGCAGCCGCGGUAAUUCCAGCUCCAAUAGGAUAUAUCAAAGUUGUUGCAGUUGAAAAGCUCGUAGUCGAGGUUAUUAGGGCGGGUCGGGGCAACCUGACACGUCCUAAAUUUGGGGACAAACGGUCUGGUUGGCCUUUACUGGUUGGCCAGAUUGCCCCUCCGUCACUGAGAGCAAAAUGGAGUGCUCAAAGCAGGCUUUUGGCUUUGAACAUAUCAGCUUGGAAUGACAAAGUUUGACUAUGGUCGCCUUUGUUGGUUUAACGACAGUAGUAAUGACAAAUAGGAACAGUUGCGGGGGUACUCGUACUGGAAAGUCAGAGGUGAAAUUCUUGGAUUUUUCCACGACGAACGACUGCGAAAGCAUUUACCAAGGAUGUUUUCAUUGAUCAAGAACGAAAGUGCGAGGAUCGAAGAUGAUUAGAUACCAUCGUAGUUCGCACCCUAAACGAUGCCGACUCGGGGUUGCAUUGAAUACGUUACAGUAGCAUUGCAGCACCGUAAGAGAAAUCAAAGUCUUUGGGUUCCGGGGGGAGUAUGGUCGCAAGGUUGAAAUUUAAAGGAAUUGACGGAAGGGCACACCAGAGGUGGAGCCUGCGGUUUAAUUUGACCCAACACGGGGAAACUCACCAGGUCCGGACAUGAGAAGGAUUGACAGUUUGAAAGCACUUUCGAGAUUUCAUGGGUGGUGGUGCAUGGCCGUUCUUAGUUGGUGGUGUGAAUUGUCUGGUUGAUUCCGAUAACGAUCGAGACCUUUGGCGUAUGUUACCGAAGGCUAGUGCAAGCUAACCCUAGGACACAUCCGCGACUAUUCGCUUCAAGCGAAGGGAAGCCAAAGGCAAUAACAGGUCUGUGAUGCCCCUCGAUGUUCUGGGCUACACGCGCGCUACAAUGACGAAUUCAGCAAGUUUCUCCUUGCCCGGAAGGGCUUAGGUAAUCUCAAAUGUUCGUCGUGAUGGGGCUAGAUUAUUGCAAUUAUUAAUCUUCAACGAGGAAUCUCUAGUAUGUGCGAGUCAUCAGCUCGCGCAGAAUGCGUCCCUGCCCUUUGUACACACCGCCCGUCGCACCUACCGAUUGGAAGUAGGGGUGAAGUGUUGGGAGUUUGUGGUUGUUGGAGCAAUCUGACGGCUAUGGAUAAACUUCUCUGAGCCCCCUCUUCUAGAGGAAGGUGAAGUCGUAACAAGGUU
This 1717-nucleotide ribosomal RNA is filed under the name metagenome. Its description in RNAcentral is "SSU rRNA". It matches the Rfam family "Eukaryotic small subunit ribosomal RNA". The record is from RNAcentral.